UUAUGAAAAAUUCAUCACAAAUAAUAUAUAUUUAAUGUAAUAUGUAUGAAUUGUGUGCAAUUUUUUCAUAUAAGGACAUUGUAAUCUGUUAAUAUAAAUACAUCUAUUAUAAGAUACAUGUAUAAAGCUUAGUCGAUAUUUUUUAAAUAUUCGAUUAAAUUAUAUGUUAUCGAAUAGAUAGUUGACAGAUUUUCUACAUAUAUAACGCUUACAUUUUAUAUGUUAUAAUUAUGUGGAAUAUUUUAUAAUUUCUAUAUAUAUUAUAUGCGUUUAUAUGAUUGACAAUGCAUAAGAUUUAGGAUACCUUCAGGACCCGUCUUGAAACACGGACCAAGGAGUCUAACAUGUGUGCAAGUCAUUGGGUUUAUUUUUUAUAAAUAAAACCUAAAGGCAUAAUUAACUUAACUGUUAAUAUUUGGGAUAAGUAUAUAUUAUUUAUAAUAUAUAUUCAAUCCCGGGGCGUUCCAAUAGUUAUGUAUAUUAAUAUUUUUAAUAUUAUUUAUACCUCUAACUGGAGCGUACCUUGAGCAUAUAUGCUGU
This 540-nucleotide ribosomal RNA is filed under the name Atelestus pulicarius. RNAcentral describes it as "eukaryotic LSU rRNA". The record is from RNAcentral. Lineage: Eukaryota; Metazoa; Arthropoda; Insecta; Diptera; Atelestidae.